UCCGCCUGGGGAGUACGGUCGCAAGACCGAAACUCAAAGAAAUUGACGGGGGCCCGCACAAGCGGUGGAGCAUGUGGUUUAAUUCGACGCAACGCGAAGAACCUUACCAGCCCUUGACAUGCCCGGACGGUUUCCAGAGAUGGAUUCCUCCUAGCAAUAGGUCGGGACACAGGUGCUGCAUGGCUGUCGUCAGCUCGUGUCGUGAGAUGUUGGGUUAAGUCCCGCAACGAGCGCAACCCUCGCCAUUAGUUGCCCUUAUUAAGUUAGGCACUCUAGUGGGACUGCCGGUGAUAAGCCGGAGGAAGGUGGGGAUGACGUGUCCUUGAUAGG
This 330-nucleotide unclassified non-coding RNA is filed under the name uncultured Alphaproteobacteria bacterium. RNAcentral's name for it is "contains 16S-23S intergenic spacer region". It matches the Rfam family "Bacterial small subunit ribosomal RNA", at positions 868 to 1199 of the family's 1533-position model. Lineage: Bacteria; Pseudomonadati; Pseudomonadota; Alphaproteobacteria. The record is from RNAcentral.